Molecule: ribosomal RNA, 485 nt
Filed under: uncultured bacterium
Lineage: Bacteria
Description: partial 16S ribosomal RNA
Rfam family: Bacterial small subunit ribosomal RNA
Source: RNAcentral
AGUGAACGCUGGCGGCGUGCUUAACACAUGCAAGUCGAACGAGAACGGGAUAUAGCUUGCUAUAUUUGUCAGCUAAGUGGCGCACGGGUGAGUAAUGUAUAGAUAACCUGCCCUCUAGAAAGGAAUAACAGUUGGAAACGACUGCUAAUGCCCUAUAUGCCUUUAAUACAUAAGUAUGCAAGGGAAACGCUUUAGUGCUAGAGGAUGGGUCUGUAUGGUAUCAGCUUGUUGGUGAGGUAAUGGCUCACCAAGGCUAUGACGCCUAACUGGUUUGAGGGGAUGAGAGGUCACACUGGAACUGAGACACGGUCCAGACUCCUAGGGGAGGCAGAAGUGGGGAAUAUUGCACAAUGGAAGAAAGUCGGAUGCAGCAACGCCGCGUGGAGGAUGAAAAAUUUCGGUGCGUAAACUCCUUUUAUAUAGGAAGAUAAUGACGGUACUAUAUGAAUAAGCACCGGCUAACUCCGUGCCAGCCGCCGCGGUAA